GCUGUGUUGAGAAACAUGGGAAGAUUACGGGUUAAUAUUAUUUUAUCAAAAGGUAGAAUAAAGGACAGCAGGGCAAGAUAAUUUACUAUAUUGGCGAGAGAGUGAUUCACUUGACCCUUGGGAUCUUAUUUGGAUAGAAAUGAAAAAUGAAGACAGGAUAAGACUGAUAAGUAAAAAUAAUAGGGGUGAAGACACUGUGAGAUUGUGAAAAAUAUAAGAAAUUGAGAUUUUUGGAAGGCUACAUGGGGUUAGACACUAGCUCUUUGGAAGGAGGACAGUUUCGAAUAUGGCUGUGAAAGGAGUAGCUAAAGUCUUGGAGGUGUAGACUACUGGAGAUAAGGAGCAAAGGAACUGAGAGAGGCUAGUUUGUUGAAUGGGCUAAGGGCUGAAAUUAACCCAGGAUGAGGAAAAUGCAUGCUCUGAGGAAAUCUCUUCUACAGUCCUGUAUAGCAAGUUCACAGUGUUAUUAGUAGGUAUAAUUCCUUUUUUUUUUAAGAUGGCAGAAAGUUGUAUAAAAAAUAUUGACCUGCUUUUCAUCCAUCAUGAAUAUUUUUAAUCCUUAAAGAGUAAGCUCUACCCCAAGUUCUAGGCUCAGUAUGUGGCGCCUCCCCCAUAUGCUGUGUGUGCACACUGCAAAGACCAACAAGCUCCCUGAUCCUUGGAGCAGGCCUGCCGCCUUCAUGUCCACUCUCCUGAUCAAUCAGCCCCAGUAUUCGUGGCUGAAAGAGCUGGGCCUCCUAGAGGAAAACGAGGGUGUGUAUAAUGGAAGCUGGGGAGGCUGGGGAGAGGUUAUUAUCACUUACUGUCCUGCUAACAACGAGCCUGUAGCAAGAGUCCGUCAGGCCAGUGUUGCAGACUAUGAAGACACCGUAAAAGCAAGAGAAGCAUGGAAAAUCUGGGCAGAUAUUCCUGCUCCAAAACAAGGAGAAAUAGUAAGACAGAUUGGCGAUGCCUUGCGGGAGAUCCAAGUACUAGGAAGCUUGGUGUCUUUGGAGAUGGGGAAAAUCUUAGUGGAAGGUGUGGGAGUAGUUCAGGAGUAUGUGGAUAUCUGUGACUAUGCUGUUGGUUUAUCACGGAUGAUUGGAGGACCUAUCUUGCCUUCUGAAAGACCUUGCCAUGCACUGAUCGAGCAGUGGAAUCCUGUAGGCCUGGUUGGAAUCAUCCCUGCAUUCAAUUUCCCUGUGGCAGCGUAUGGCUGGAACAACACCAUCGCCUUGAUCUGUGGAAAUGUCUGCCUCUGGAAAGGAGCUCCAAUAACUUCCCUGAUUAGUGUGGCUGUCACAAAGAUAAUAGCCAAGGUUCUGGAGGACAACAGGCUGCCUGGUGCAAUUUGUUCCUUGACUUGUGGUGAGCAGAUAGUGGCACAGCAAUGGCCAAAGAUGAACGAGUGAACCUGCUGUCCUUCACUGGGAGCACUCAGGUGGGAAAACAGGUGGCUCUGAUGGUGCAGGAGAGGUUUGGGAGAAGUUUGUUGGAACUUGGAGGAAAUAAUGCCAUUAUUGCCUUUGAAGAUGCAGACCUCAACUUAGUUGUUCCAUCAGCUCUCUUCGCUGCUGUGGGAACAGCUGGCCAGAGGUGUACCACUGCGAGGCAACUGUUUGUGCAUGAAAGCAUCCAUGAUGAGGUUGUAAACAGACUUAAAAAGGCCUAUGCACAGAUCCGAGUUGGGAACCCAUGGGACUCUAAUGUUCUCUGUGGGCCAUUCCACACUAAGCAGGCAGUGAGCAUGUUUCUUGGAGCAGUGGAAGAAGUAAAGAAAGAAGGUGGCACAGUGGUCUAUGAGGACAAGGUUAUGGAUCGCCCUGGAAAUUAUGUAGAACCGACAAUUGUGACAGGUCUUGGCCACAGUGCAUCCAUUGCACACACACAGACUUUUGCUCCGAUUCUCUAUGUCUUUAAAUUCAACAAUGAAGAAGAGGUCUUUGCAUGGAAUAAUGAAGUAAAACAGGGACUUUCAAGUAGCAUCUUUACCAAAGAUCUGGGCAGAAUCUUGCACUGGCUCGGACCUAAAGGAUCAGACUGUGGCAUUGUAAACGUCAACAUUCCAACAAGUGGGGCUGAGAUUGGAGGUGACUUUGAAGGAGAAAAGCACACUGGUGGUGGCAGGGAGUCUAGCAGUGAUGCCUGGAAAAAGUACAUGAGAAGGUCUACUUGUACUAUCAGCUACAGUAAGGACCUUCCUUUGGCCCAAGGAGUCAAGUUUCAGUAAAGGUGUUUUAGAUGAACAUUGCUUAAUUUGAGGUGUUCCAGCAGCUGUUUUUGAAGAAGACAAAGAAAAUUAAAGUUUUCCCUGAAUAAGUGCGUCAUUAUGACUGUGACAUUGACUAAUCCCCCAUGACCCCAAAGCCCUGAUUAAAAAUCAAGAGACUCAUUUUUUAAAAAUCAAAAUAAAAUUGUUACAACAUAGCUAUAUUUACUUAAAAAAAAAAAA
Sapajus apella (tufted capuchin) is the source of this 2431-nucleotide RNA transcript. It is a transcript of the gene named alpha-aminoadipic semialdehyde dehydrogenase pseudogene, with no coding region annotated. NCBI's taxonomy places the organism in Eukaryota, Metazoa, Chordata, Mammalia, Primates, Cebidae. The transcript has 2 exons. The record is from RefSeq and is a predicted model, not a curated record.